GCUCCAAUAGCGUAUAUUUAAGUUGCUGCAGUUAAAAAGCUCGUAGUCGGUUCGGGCGGGUUGCGCCGGUCUGCCUUUGGUAUGCACUGGCGUGUCCGCUUUACUGCUGGGGACGGGCUCCUGGGCUUUACUGUCCGGGACCGGAAUCAGCGCUGUUACCUUGAAUAAAAUGGAGUGUUCAAAGCAGGCAUACGCCUUGA
Molecule: ribosomal RNA, 200 nt
Filed under: uncultured eukaryote
Lineage: Eukaryota
Description: partial 18S ribosomal RNA
Rfam family: Eukaryotic small subunit ribosomal RNA
Source: RNAcentral